This 77-nucleotide transfer RNA is filed under the name Desulfovibrio sp. RNAcentral describes it as "tRNA-Pro". It matches the Rfam family "tRNA". Rfam says of the family: Transfer RNA (tRNA) molecules are approximately 80 nucleotides in length. Their secondary structure includes four short double-helical elements and three loops (D, anti-codon, and T loops). Lineage: Bacteria; Pseudomonadati; Thermodesulfobacteriota; Desulfovibrionia; Desulfovibrionales; Desulfovibrionaceae. RNAcentral also lists the same sequence under 1 other name. The record is from RNAcentral.
CGGGGCAUGGCGCAGCCUGGUAGCGCGCUAGUUUUGGGAACUAGAUGCCGGGAGUUCAAAUCUCUCUGCCCCGACCA